AUACGUAGGGGACGAGCGUUGUCCGGAAUGAUUGGGCGUAAAGGGCGCGUAGGCGGCCUGUUAAGUCUGGAGUGAAAGUCCUGUUUUCAAGAUGGGAAUUGCUUUGGAUACUGAUGGGCUUGAGUGCAGGAGAGGUUAUCGGAAUUCCCGGUGUAGCGGUGAAAUGCGUAGAGAUCGGGAGGAACACCAGUGGCGAAGGCGGGUAACUGGACUGCAACUGACGCUGAGGCGCGAAAGUGUGGGGAGCAAACAGGAUUAGAUACCCUGGUAGUCCACACUGUAAACGAUGAAUGCUAGGUGUAAGAGGUAUCGACCCCUUUUGUGCCGGAGUUAACACAAUAAGCAUUCCGCCUGGGGAGUACGGCCGCAAGGUUGAAACUCAAAUGAAUCGACGGGG
Molecule: ribosomal RNA, 397 nt
Filed under: uncultured bacterium
Lineage: Bacteria
Description: partial 16S ribosomal RNA
Rfam family: Bacterial small subunit ribosomal RNA
Source: RNAcentral